Molecule: transfer RNA, 73 nt
Filed under: Amborella trichopoda
Lineage: Eukaryota; Viridiplantae; Streptophyta; Magnoliopsida; Amborellales; Amborellaceae
Rfam family: tRNA
About the family: Transfer RNA (tRNA) molecules are approximately 80 nucleotides in length. Their secondary structure includes four short double-helical elements and three loops (D, anti-codon, and T loops). Further hydrogen bonds mediate the characteristic L-shaped molecular structure. tRNAs have two regions of fundamental functional importance: the anti-codon, which is responsible for specific mRNA codon recognition, and the 3' end, to which the tRNAs corresponding amino acid is attached (by aminoacyl-tRNA synthetases). tRNAs cope with the degeneracy of the genetic code in two manners: having more than one tRNA (with a specific anti-codon) for a particular amino acid; and 'wobble' base-pairing, i.e. permitting non-standard base-pairing at the 3rd anti-codon position.
Source: Rfam by way of RNAcentral
GGGGACGUAGUUCAAUUGGUAGAGCGCAUGUUUUGCAAGCAUGAAGCUGUCAGUUCAACUCCAAUCAUUUCCA